Molecule: ribosomal RNA, 253 nt
Filed under: uncultured bacterium
Lineage: Bacteria
Description: partial 16S ribosomal RNA
Rfam family: Bacterial small subunit ribosomal RNA
Source: RNAcentral
UACCGAGGUCUCAAACGUUGUUCGGAUUCAUUGGGCGUAAAGGGUGCGUAGGCGGCGCGGUAAGUCGGGUGUGAAAUCUCGGAGCUUAACUCCGAAACUGCAUUCGAUACUGCCGUGCUUGAGGACUGGAGAGGAGACUGGAAUUUACGGUGUAGCGGUGAAAUGCGUAGAUAUCGUAAGGAAGACCAGUGGCGAAGGCGGGUCUCUGGACAGUUCCUGACGCUGAGGCACGAAGGUCAGGGGAGCAAACGGG